GGCUUCAUGGUCGAGUGGUAAGGACACUUGCCUCUUACACAGGAGUCCCAGGUUCGAUCCCCGGUUGAGGAGCUA
RNAcentral lists this transfer RNA (75 nucleotides) under Rhamnusium bicolor. RNAcentral describes it as "tRNA-OTHER". The record is from RNAcentral. Lineage: Eukaryota; Metazoa; Arthropoda; Insecta; Coleoptera; Cerambycidae.